UCGGCAUACUGCUCAGUAACACGUGGAUAACCUGCCCUAUUGUCUGGAAUAACCUCGGGAAACUGAGAACAAUGCCGGAUAGCCCACAAUGCCUGGAACGGUUUGUGGGUGAAUUUUGCAAUAGGAUGGGUCUGCGGCGUAUCAGGUCGUAGGGGGUGUAAUGGACCUCCUAGCCAUCGACGCGUACGGGUGUUGGGAGACAUAGCCCGGAGAUGGAUUCUGAGACACGAAUCCAGACCCUACGGGGUGCAGCAGGCGCGAAAACUUCACACUGCAGGAAACUGUGAUGAGGGAACUCCAAGUGCUAUCACUAUGUGGUAGCUUUUCUUAACUAUUAAUCGGUUUUGGAAUAAGGGCUGGGAAAGACCGGUGCCAGCCGCCGCGGUAAUACCGGCAGCUCAAGUGGUCGUCGCUUUUAUUGGGCCUAAAACGUCCGUAGCCUGUUUGGUAAAUCUGUGGGUAAAUCAACCAGCUUAACUGGUUGAAUUCUGCAGAGACUGCCAGACUAGGGACCGGGAGAGGUGUGGGGUACUCUAGGGGUAGGGGUAAAAUCCUGUCAUCCUUAGAGGACCACCAGUUGCGAAGGCGCCACACUGGAACGGAUCCGACGGUCAGGGACGAAGCCUAGGGGCACGAACCGGAUUAGAUACCCGGGUAGUCCUAGGUGUAAACGCUGUGAACUUGGUGUCGGGGAUCCGUAAUGGGUUCUCGGUGCCGGAGUGAAGAUGUUAAGUUCACUGCCUGGGGAGUACGGUCGCAAGGCUGAAACUUAAAGGAAUUGGCGGGGGAGCACUGCAACGGGAGGAGCGUGCGGUUUAAUU
This 821-nucleotide ribosomal RNA is filed under the name uncultured marine euryarchaeote. Its description in RNAcentral is "bacterial SSU rRNA". It matches the Rfam family "Archaeal small subunit ribosomal RNA", at positions 78 to 907 of the family's 1478-position model. The record is from RNAcentral. Lineage: Archaea; Methanobacteriati; Methanobacteriota.